CUAAUACAAUGAUGAUUGCAUAGUUCAGCAGAUUAAAACAUGAAGAAUUGAGCAUUGUCUUUCGCUCCUAGCUGAUGUAUUGG
This is a small nucleolar RNA of Labrus bergylta (ballan wrasse), 83 nucleotides long. Ensembl annotates it as small nucleolar RNA snR60/Z15/Z230/Z193/J17. NCBI's taxonomy places the organism in Eukaryota, Metazoa, Chordata, Actinopteri, Labriformes, Labridae. The record is from Ensembl.